This is a long non-coding RNA of Chelonoidis abingdonii (Abingdon island giant tortoise), 1876 nucleotides long. RefSeq lists it as uncharacterized. The record is from RefSeq and is a predicted model, not a curated record. NCBI's taxonomy places the organism in Eukaryota, Metazoa, Chordata, Testudines, Testudinidae.
UCCCCCCCCCGGCCGCCUCUGGGGGAGCGAAGACGGGCCGGAUAACGCUACCCGGGGCGGGAAAUAGGCCUGUGCCCGAGAGGCGGACCCCUGGCAGAGGCUCCGCAGCGGGGCCCUGUCCCACCCGCCCUAGAGCCGGGCCCGAUGAUAGCGGAUACCCGCCGCAGCAGCGCGGCCUUACGUGUUCUCUCAGACUAGAAGGCCGUCGCCUUCCGUGGCUGGGUAGUUAUAGGAAACGAGGUCUCGCGAGAGCUUCUCGCAAAAGAGGUGGAAGGCCCCGCCCCCUAAACACAGAACGCCUGCGCCACCUGCCAUGAUUCGGGGCUCCUUUCAGCCCCGCAGCAGAGUCCCGGCUGUACGCAUGCGUGGGUAGCAGCGGCGGAGCCCCGGAUCGAGCAUGACUUAGACUCGCCUGACUGGUGACCCAGCCUAGAGCAGCCCGAGACCCUGCACUGCGCAUGAGCAAAGCUGCCUGCUGGCAGCGCCCAGCAAGCACGUGUUCCGUGCUAGAUACUGGAUUUUCAGAAUCAAAGCUUCAACCAUGAUGCACCAAGCAAAUUUAAAUCUAGCCUGCUACAUUGCCUGCCACUCAGAGAUUAGUUCCAUGGAUCACCUUGGGGAAGUUUGAAAAAGAGGGAAAACCUCAACUGACAUCUCCAUGCUGAAUUUUCAAAGGUGACUUGGGGGCCUUGCUUGGAUGCACAGUAUCAAGCCAUCAACUUCCAGCAAUGGAAGAGCACAGAUGUGGAGCAGUUCUGAGUGGAAGCAUACAAUUUUCAAGACAGUAGCGGUGAACAGUGUUUUAAAGAGCUAGCCCUGUUUGCACUUUCCCUACUCGCCAUGCCUCUGAGUAAUGCUGACGUGGAACAAGUGUUCACCCGAGAGAAGUCCAAGCACUGGAAUGGGAUGAGUUGCCGGACUCUGGCUGCAGGAGGUCAGCACACUGUGGGAGUCUGAAGAGCCAUGGAUGACACAUGAACAAUCAUGAAAGGCCGUGGAGCACCUCAGCAACGUUCCACAUUUGUACCCCUUUCUAGAUAAAUAUACUAAAUGCUGAUGUUCUGCUUAUAAAUGGGACGCUUUGAGGACAAUCUCACUGAAACACUAAUAGUCUUUACCGCUGAAAACAUCUGAGUUUCCAGUCCCUACUCAGCAAAAUAGGUUGACCAGUAACUAGUAUGGGUGUUUGCAUGAGUAGUCAAAUUGUAGUGAGUAAUGCUGACAGUAGCAUAUUAUAGUGGUGUACAAAGCCCAAAGGUAUCAGAUGCUCUUUUGGUUCUGCAUUGGAAUAGGGCUAUUCUGUUUGUAUUCCAGUAGUACCUCGAGGCCUAUAGUGGGACUGGGGCUCUAUUGUAACUGCUGUAGAAAGGUGAUGGAUUUAAUGCUUUUGAGCAGGGCAGAAUGUGUAAGCAGCGGUUCUCAUGACCCCUCAGGGGGGUUGCAAGGUGGUUACAUGGAGGUCAUAAGCCCUCAUUAAAUUAAUUUUCCUCCCCCCAUUUUUAAUUUAAGGGGGGGGUCACACCCACGCUUCCUGUGUGAAAGGGGUCACCAAUGUCUACAGAAUAAGAGGAUGUUGGGCCCUGCUAUAAUGUGUUAUGAUGAUUUAAUUUGAGGCAGCAAUUUAAAGGCCUUUACUUCCAUAUGUACUACUCAGCAGUAUAUGUGGCAGCAGAAAUGCUGCCCUCUAGCGAGCAAAACCACUUAAACAAGGUGGUUAGAGAAAGUGGUGGCCUAGUUACUGUCUGUGCGUACAAUAUUUCAAACUGAUUAGACUUUCAGUGCUAAAAUGCUGCUUCUAGGGGAUGGUUUAAAUUGAUACAGUUGUCUGGUUUGCCUGUGUAUUUCAGUGUGUAAUAAAAUAUUUGCUUACUAACAA